RNAcentral lists this ribosomal RNA (405 nucleotides) under uncultured bacterium. RNAcentral describes it as "bacterial SSU rRNA". It matches the Rfam family "Bacterial small subunit ribosomal RNA", at positions 355 to 776 of the family's 1533-position model. The record is from RNAcentral.
CAGGGAAUCUUGCGCAAUGGGCGAAAGCCUGACGCAGCGACGCCGCGUGAGGGAAGAAGGCCUGCGGGUCGUAAACCUCUUUUCCAGGGGAAGAAACAAGACGGUACCCUGGGAAUAAGCCUCGGCUAACUACGUGCCAGCAGCCGCGGUAAUACGUAGGAGGCAAGCGUUGUCCGAAUUUACUGGGCGUAAAGGGAGCGCAGGCGGUUAGGUCCGUCGGUGGUUUAAUCUCUGGGCUUAACCCAGAGGCGUUCACCGAUACCACCUGGCUAGAGGGCGGUAGAGGAGCACGGAAUUCCUGGUGUAGUGGUGAAAUGCGUAGAUAUCAGGAGGAACACCAGUGGCGAAAGCGGUGCUCUGGGCCGUCCCUGACGCUCAGGCUCGAAAGCGUGGGGAGCAAACCGG